Small nucleolar RNA from Rattus norvegicus (Norway rat), 134 nucleotides. Ensembl annotates it as small nucleolar RNA SNORA17. Lineage: Eukaryota; Metazoa; Chordata; Mammalia; Rodentia; Muridae. The record is from Ensembl.
GCUGCCCCUACAGGCCUUGCAGGGGUGGCUGCUGUGUCCCAAGGGUGCCAGUAGGUGGCAGAGAGGAGAGAGGCUGUGCCUGCACUCAGCGACUGCACAGGGAGCUAGCCUGGGAGGACCAUCUGUCUGGCAAU